This 29-nucleotide non-coding RNA is filed under the name Homo sapiens (human). Lineage: Eukaryota; Metazoa; Chordata; Mammalia; Primates; Hominidae. The record is from RNAcentral.
UUUCGGAAACGUAAUGGUAGAUCAGCUAU